GUAGGGGCAUCUUUCCCUGAGAAGAAGUUGGCUAGCAGGAGUCCUGGCUUGAUUAACUCGUCAUAGAGUUCUUCAUCAAAUCGGCCGGUAGCCGAAUCAAAGCAAGUUGGGAGUUCAAAGACCGGAUCAUCCCGCUGAUAAGGAAACCAAAUGGUUGCAUCUUCAUUAAAUCUGUUAUAAAAGCAUCGAAAGUACUCGGCUACCUUUGUAGCAGAAUACGUG
This 222-nucleotide long non-coding RNA is filed under the name Setaria italica (foxtail millet). RNAcentral's name for it is "long non-coding RNA (SITA_LNC003077)". The record is from RNAcentral. Lineage: Eukaryota; Viridiplantae; Streptophyta; Magnoliopsida; Poales; Poaceae.